RNAcentral lists this transfer-messenger RNA (357 nucleotides) under Candidatus Shapirobacteria bacterium. It matches the Rfam family "transfer-messenger RNA". From Rfam's summary of the family: Bacterial tmRNA, also known as 10Sa RNA or SsrA, is named for its dual tRNA and mRNA-like properties. Its role is to liberate the mRNA from a stalled ribosome. To accomplish this part of the tmRNA is used as a reading frame that ends in a translation stop signal. The record is from RNAcentral. Lineage: Bacteria; Candidatus Shapironibacteriota.
GGGGAUGUGCGGAUCGACGGAGAAGUUCUUUUAAAGACAGCAAGUCGAGAAUGAUACCUCUCGUUAAACGUAUCAAAAAUUAAACGUCAAUAAAAACGACGGUACUAAUAACUACGCUUACGCGUACGCUUAAUAGUUGUCCAUUUUAUCUUUUCUUGGUGAGAUAAUUUGGGCAUAAACAUAGCCAAGAUGCUGUUUUGACUGAUCGGCUAGUCGGUCAAAACGAAGCUUAAUUAGUCUGGCCUCAACUUUCCGGUUACCAGGAUCAGGUUAAGGCAAGAUUCAAAAGGUAACUAAGCUUGUAGAAGUCUUUUAAAACUUUUUUCGGACCCCGCUUCACCGCGGGCAUCUCCACAA